UACGGAAGGCAGCAGUGGGGAAUAUUGCACAAUGGGCGCAAGCCUGAUGCAGCCAUGCCGCGUGUAUGAAGAAGGCCUUCGGGUUGUAAAGUACUUUCAGUCGUGAGGAAGGUGUUAAGGUUAAUAACCUUAGCAAUUGACGUUAGCGACAGAAGAAGCACCGGCUAACUCCGUGCCAGCAGCCGCGGUAAUACGGAGGGUGCGAGCGUUAAUCGGAAUUACUGGGCGUAAAGGGCACGCAGGCGGUUAAUUAAGUUGGAUGUGAAAUCCCCAGGCUUAACCUGGGAAUGGCAUUCAAGACUGGUUAGCUAGAGUCUUGUAGAGGGGGUAGAAUUCCAUGUGUAGCGGUGAAAUGCGUAGAGAUGUGGAGGAAUACCGGUGGCGAAGGCGGCCCCUGGGACAAAGACUGACGCUCAUGUGCGAAAGCGUGGGGAGCAAACAGGAUUAGGAUACC
RNAcentral lists this ribosomal RNA (454 nucleotides) under uncultured bacterium. RNAcentral describes it as "bacterial SSU rRNA". It matches the Rfam family "Bacterial small subunit ribosomal RNA", at positions 340 to 786 of the family's 1533-position model. The record is from RNAcentral.